Molecule: ribosomal RNA, 497 nt
Filed under: uncultured bacterium
Lineage: Bacteria
Description: partial 16S ribosomal RNA
Rfam family: Bacterial small subunit ribosomal RNA
Source: RNAcentral
GAUGAACGCUGGCGGCGUGCCUAAUACGUGCAAGUCGAGCGAACAGACGAGGCUCUUGCUCCUCUGACGUUAGCGGCGGACGGGUGAGUAACACGUGGAUACCCUACCUAUAAGACUGGGAUAACUUCGGGAAACCGGAGCUAAUACCGGAUAAUAUAUUGAACCGCAUGGUUCAAUAGUGAAAGACGGUUUUGCUGUCACUUAUAGAUGGAUCCCGGCCGCAUUAGCUAGUUGGUACGGUAACGGCUUACCAAGGCAACGAUGCGUAGCCGAACUGAGAGGGUGAUCGGCCACACUGGAACUGAGACACGGUCCAGACUCCUACGGGAGGCAGCAGUAGGGAAUCUUCCGCAAUGGGCGAAAGCUUGACGGAGCAACGCCGCGUGAGUGAUGAAGGUCUUCGGAUCGUAAAACUCUGUUAUGAGGGAAGAACAAAUGUGUAAGUAACUAUGCACGUCUUGACGGUACCUAAUCAGAAAGCCACGGCUAACUACGUG